Molecule: transfer RNA, 68 nt
Filed under: Cordylochernes scorpioides
Lineage: Eukaryota; Metazoa; Arthropoda; Arachnida; Pseudoscorpiones; Chernetidae
Description: tRNA-OTHER
Source: RNAcentral
UGCAUCGGCCGGGAAUCGAACCCGGGCCACCUGGCAGGCGAACAUUCUCGCCAUUGAACUACCGAUGC